This 253-nucleotide ribosomal RNA is filed under the name uncultured bacterium. RNAcentral's name for it is "partial 16S ribosomal RNA". It matches the Rfam family "Bacterial small subunit ribosomal RNA", at positions 524 to 776 of the family's 1533-position model. The record is from RNAcentral.
UACGGAGGGUGCAAGCGUUAUCCGGAUUCACUGGGUUUAAAGGGUGCGUAGGCGGACAGGUAAGUCAGUGGUGAAAUCUCUGGGCUUAACCCAGAAACUACCGUUGAUACUAUUUGUCUUGAAUAUCCUGGAGGUAGGCGGAAUAUGUCAUGUACCGGUGAAAUGCUUAGAUAUGACAUAGAACACCGAUAGCGAAGGCAGCUUACUACAGGAUGAUUGACGCUGAGGCACGAAAGCGUGGGGAGCAAACAGG